This 245-nucleotide ribosomal RNA is filed under the name uncultured bacterium. RNAcentral's name for it is "partial 16S ribosomal RNA". It matches the Rfam family "Bacterial small subunit ribosomal RNA", at positions 524 to 768 of the family's 1533-position model. The record is from RNAcentral.
UACGGAGGGUGCAAACGUUGUUCGGAAUUACUGGGCGUAAAGCGCGUGUAGGCGGCUUGGCAAGUCAGAUGUGAAAUCCCUCGGCUCAACCGAGGAAGUGCAUUUGAAACUGCCAGGAUAGAGUACGGGAGAGGGUUGUGGAAUUCCCGGUGUAGAGGUGAAAUUCGUAGAUAUCGGGAGGAACAUCGGUGGCGAAGGCGGCAACCUGGACCGAUACUGACGCUGAGACGCGAAAGCGUGGGGAG